This 472-nucleotide ribosomal RNA is filed under the name uncultured bacterium. RNAcentral's name for it is "bacterial SSU rRNA". It matches the Rfam family "Bacterial small subunit ribosomal RNA", at positions 28 to 507 of the family's 1533-position model. The record is from RNAcentral.
GGCUAACGCUGGCGGCGUGUCUUAGCCAUGCAAGUCGAGCGGACUUAUGGGGUAACUUAUAAGUCAGCGGCGGACGGCGGAGUAACACGUAGCUAACCUACCCUCUGGACGGGGAUAACCUACCGAAAGGUGGGCUAAUACCCGAUGUAGUCAUCCUGUAUAGGGGUGAUGAAAGGUGGGCUUCUGUUUACAAGCUCAUGCUGGAGGAGGGGGCUGCGGCCUAUCAGGUAGUUGGUAGGGUAAUAGCCUACCAAGCCGAUGACGGGUAGCCGGCCUGAGAGGGUGACCGGCCCGAGGGGCACUGAGAUACGGGUCCCACUCCUACGGGAGGCAGCAGUGGGGAAUCUUGCGCAAUGGGGGCAACCCUGACGCAGCCAUGCCGCGUGAACGAUGAAGGCCUUAGGGUUGUAAAGUUCUUUUACCCGUGACGAUGAUGACGGUAACGGGGGAAUAAGCUCCGGCUAACUUCGUG